GAUGAACGCUGGCGGCGUGCCUAAUACAUGCAAGUCGAGCGAACAGACGAGGAGCUUGCUCCUCUGACGUUAGCGGCGGACGGGUGAGUAACACGUGGAUAACCUACCUAUAAGACUGGGAUAACUUCGGGAAACCGGAGCUAAUACCGGAUAAUAUAUUGAACCGCAUGGUUCAAUAGUGAAAGACGGUUUUGCUGUCACUUAUAGAUGGAUCCGCGCCGCAUUAGCUAGUUGGUAAGGUAACGGCUUACCAAGGCGACGAUGCGUAGCCGACCUGAGAGGGUGAUCGGCCACACUGGAACUGAGACACGGUCCAGACUCCUACGGGAGGCAGCAGUAGGGAAUCUUCCGCGAUGGGCGAAAGCCUGACGGAGCAACGCCGCGUGAGUGAUGAAGGUCUUCGGAUCGUAAAACUCUGUUAUUAGGGAAGAACAAAUGUGUAAGUAACUAUGCACGUCUUGACGGUACCUAAUCAGAAAGCCACGGCUAACUCCGUG
RNAcentral lists this ribosomal RNA (497 nucleotides) under uncultured bacterium. RNAcentral describes it as "partial 16S ribosomal RNA". It matches the Rfam family "Bacterial small subunit ribosomal RNA", at positions 28 to 507 of the family's 1533-position model. The record is from RNAcentral.